CUGUUGGGUAGUAGCUUUUCCUUGGCACCCUUUAUCAUUGUGGUGGCUGUGUGCACUUUAUUAGCCAUGGUUGCUACUCUUCCAGUUGCACAACUUUUCUUCUUCCAUAUUCUUUUAAUAAAAAAGGGAAUCAGCACCUAUGAUUACAUUAUUGCUUUGAGGGAGCAAGAUCAGGAGCAGGAGCAACUUGCUGUUGGU
This is a long non-coding RNA of Zingiber officinale, 198 nucleotides long. RefSeq lists it as uncharacterized. Lineage: Eukaryota; Viridiplantae; Streptophyta; Magnoliopsida; Zingiberales; Zingiberaceae. The record is from RefSeq and is a predicted model, not a curated record. The transcript is spliced from 3 exons.